CGCUAGCGGCAGGCCUAACACAUGCAAGUCGAGGGGCAGCGGGGAUAAGCUUGCUUAUCCGCCGGCGACCGGCGCACGGGUGCGGAACGCGUAUGGAACCUGCCCCUGUCAGGGGAAUAGCCCAGGGAAACUUGGAUUAAUGCCCCAUGGUACCGCGAUAUCGCAUGAUAUUGUGGUUAAAGAUUUAUCGGACAGGGAUGGCCAUGCGUACCAUUAGCUAGUUGGUAAGGUAACGGCUUACCAAGGCAACGAUGGUUAGGGGCCCUGAGAGGGGGAUCCCCCACACUGGUACUGAGACACGGACCAGACUCCUACGGGAGGCAGCAGUGAGGAAUAUUGGACAAUGGUCGGAAGACUGAUCCAGCCAUGCCGCGUGCAGGAUGACGGCCCUAUGGGUUGUAAACUGCUUUUAUACGGGAAGAAACCCGCCUACGUGUAGGCGGCUGACUGUACCGUAAGAAUAAGGACCGGCUAACUCCGUGCCAGCAGCCGCGGUAAUACGGAGGGUCCGAGCGUUAUCCGGAAUCAUUGGGUUUAAAGGGUCCGUAGGCGGGCCUGUAAGUCAGGGGUGAAAGUUUGUGGCUCAACCAUAAAAUUGCCUUUGAUACUGCAGGUCUUGAGUCAUGGUGGGGUUGCCGGAACAUGUGGUGUAGCGGUGAAAUGCAUAGAUAUCACAUAGAACACCGAUCGCGAAGGCAGGUGACCAACCAUGUACUGACGCUGAUGGACGAAAGCGUGGGUAGCGAACGGGAUUAGAUACCCCGGUAGUCCACGCCGUAAACGAUGGAUACUAGCUGUGGGGACUUCGGUCUCCGUGGCCAAGCGAAAGUGAUAAGUAUCCCACCUGGGGAGUACGUCGCAAGAAUAAGCG
This 871-nucleotide ribosomal RNA is filed under the name Flavobacterium sp. SCGC AAA007-A05. RNAcentral's name for it is "SSU rRNA". It matches the Rfam family "Bacterial small subunit ribosomal RNA", at positions 34 to 901 of the family's 1533-position model. Lineage: Bacteria; Pseudomonadati; Bacteroidota; Flavobacteriia; Flavobacteriales; Flavobacteriaceae. The record is from RNAcentral.